ACUUUGAGAGAGAGUAAACAGUACGUGAAACCGCAUGCAGGUAAACGGGUGGCGUCAAGCUGCACGCCCGGAGAAUUCAGCUGGCUAGGGUGUUGUGUAUGCGCCUGGCGCAUCAAUCAGUCAGAGUAAGAUUCGGUAGUCCGCCCGGUAAGGGUGGGCCCGGCCGCAAGGUUGGGAUUUGUGUACCGGGUGUUAGCCGGAGCAAGCUACUUAUCUAUGGGACUGUCUAGCCAGUGCACUUUCUCCGUGGUGAACACCACGACCGGUGGUAUUGCCAGUCUGCUGUAGUCAAGUCGUGUUCAGUAGGUUCUCGUAAUCAACUGGAUGCGAUCACAGGCAAACUCAGUAAACGGCGUAGGGGUGUUUCGGCACCUUUGCGUGUUAUCGGCUACUGGUUGUCAACGGAUCGGCCCUUUGAUUGUUGUAAUCGUCACUGGGUGGUCUGGUGGACUAUGGUGGUAUGAAUAACUGUGCAAGGCAUCGGAGUUCUCGGCCUCAAAUGCAUUCUAUGCCCACAUUAUGAGUGGCGUGGGUGCCAUUACAGCCUGCCUGUUGUUGAGUCUGAUUGUCGUGUCGCCUGCGAAAAGUGGGCCCGGCAGUGGCUUGAUAUGGGAUGGGUUGUGGAUGGUAUCUCCUGUGUAGUUUGCGGUGGGCCUUACAGUCUGUGGUGUAGUGGUAGACGAGCUACCCGACCCGUCUUGAAACACGGAC
RNAcentral lists this ribosomal RNA (711 nucleotides) under Trilocularia sp. 1 JB-2023. Its description in RNAcentral is "partial large subunit ribosomal RNA". The record is from RNAcentral. Lineage: Eukaryota; Metazoa; Platyhelminthes; Cestoda; Tetraphyllidea.